UUAGGUUGAUCAUGGCUCAGAGUGAACGCUGGCGGCAGGCCUAACACAUGCAAGUCGAACGGCAGCACAGUCCCGCAAGGGAUUGGGUGGCGAGUGGCGGGACGGGUGAGGAAUACAUCGGAAUCUACCUUGUCGGGGGGGAUAACGUAGGGAAACUUACGCUAAUACCGCAUACGAACUAUGGUUGAAAGCGGCGGACCGCAAGGCGUCGCGCGAUUGGAUGAGCCGAUGUCCGAUUAGCUAGUUGGCGGGGUAAAGGCCCACCAAGGCGACGAUCGGUAGCUGGUCUGAGAGGAUGAUCAGCCACACUGGAACUGAGACACGGUCCAGACUCCUACGGGAGGCAGCAGUGGGGAAUAUUGGACAAUGGGGGCAACCCUGAUCCAGCCAUGCCGCGUGUGUGAAGAAGGCCUUCGGGUUGUAAAGCACUUUUGUUGGGGAAGAAAAGCACUGAGUUAAUACCUUGGUGUCAUGACGGUACCCAAAGAAUAAGCACCGGCUAACUUCGUGCCAGCAGCCGCGGUAAUACGAAGGGUGCAAGCGUUACUCGGAAUUACUGGGCGUAAAGCGUGCGUAGGCGGUUUGUUAAGUCUGUCGUGAAAGCCCCGGGCUCAACCUGGGAAUGGCGAUGGAUACUGGCGAGCUAGAGUACGGUAGAGGAGAGUGGAAUUCCCGGUGUAGCAGUGAAAUGCGUAGAGAUCGGGAGGAACAUCAGUUGCGAAGGCGGCUCUCUGGACCAGUACUGACGCUGAGGCACGAAAGCGUGGGGGGCAAACAGGAUUAGAUAUCCUGGUAGUCCACGCCCUAAACGAUGCGAACUGGACGUUGGGAGCAAUUAGGCUCUCAGUGUCGAAGCUAACGCGUUAAGUUCGCCGCCUGGGGAGUACGGUCGCAAGAGGGAAACUCAAAGGAAUUGACGG
RNAcentral lists this ribosomal RNA (920 nucleotides) under uncultured bacterium. RNAcentral's name for it is "bacterial SSU rRNA". It matches the Rfam family "Bacterial small subunit ribosomal RNA", at positions 1 to 916 of the family's 1533-position model. The record is from RNAcentral.